RNAcentral lists this ribosomal RNA (502 nucleotides) under uncultured bacterium. Its description in RNAcentral is "partial 16S ribosomal RNA". It matches the Rfam family "Bacterial small subunit ribosomal RNA", at positions 28 to 507 of the family's 1533-position model. The record is from RNAcentral.
GAUUAACGCUGGCGGCGUGCCUAACACAUGCAAGUCGAGCGGCAGCGAGUUUCACACUGAAUUCUGGAAGCUUCUAGUUGAAAGAGAAGAUUUAUUCAAGAAUUUUGUGUAAAAUGUCGGCGAGCGGCGGACGGCUGAGUAACGCGUGGGAACGUACCCCAAAGUGAGGGAUAACGCAUCGAAAGGUGUGCUAAUACCUCACAUGGUCUUCGGAUUAAAGCCUUCGGGCGCUUUGGGAACGGCCUGCGUAAGAUUAGAUAGUUGGUGGGGUAAUGGCCUACCAAGUCGACGAUCUUUAACUGGUUAGAGAGAAGGAUCAGUCAGACUGGACCUGAGACACGGUCCAGACUCCUACGGGAGGAAGCAGUGAGGAAUCUUCCAAAAUGGGCGAAAGCCUGAUGGAGCAACGCGGGGUGCAGGAUGAAGGCCUUCGGGUUGUAAACUGCUUUUAUAAGUGAGGAUUAUGACAGUAACUUAUGAAUAAGGAUCGGCUAACUACGUG